This is a long non-coding RNA of Rhopalosiphum padi (bird cherry-oat aphid), 683 nucleotides long. RefSeq lists it as uncharacterized. The transcript is spliced from 3 exons. The record is from RefSeq and is a predicted model, not a curated record. Lineage: Eukaryota; Metazoa; Arthropoda; Insecta; Hemiptera; Aphididae.
GUACAGCAGAUCACUCAAGGAAUGCUGAGACAUGUAUUUACAUUUCUACCAUAUGUGAAAGUUUCAACUGCCUAUGCUUAAAAUGGAUGCAUAUAUAACGAUAAUAUUCAUAGUUUUAUGCAUUGUACAUAGAAUGGUUAUUGAAUAUAAUUAAUAGAAAAUUAAUAGAAGUGUAACAAAAAAUGGCAGUACAGCAGAUCACUCAAGGAAUACUGAGACUUGUAUUUACAUUUCUAUCACAUGUGAAAGUUUCAACUGCCUAUGCUUAAAAUGGAUGCAUAGAUAACGAUAAUAUUCAUGGUUUUAUGCAUUGUACAUUGAAUGGUUAUUCAAUAUAAUUAAUAGAAAAUUAAUAGUAGUGUAACAAAAAAUGGCAGUACAGCAGAUCACUCAAGGAAUGCUGAGACAUGUAUUUACAUUUCUACCACAUGUGAAUGUUUCAACUGCCUAUGCUUAAAAUGGAUGCAUAGAUAACGAUAAUAUUCAUGGUUUUAUGCAUUGUACAUAGAAUGGUUAUUGAAUAUAAUUAAUUGAAAAUUAAUAGUAGUGUAACAAAAAGUGAGUGUCAUGAUACCCUUACAAUUAGAUUAAGUAACUGAAUUUUAAUUACCUUAACUAACGUCCAUAUAAUUCAUUUAAACUCAUACUUCAUAAACAAUAUAAAACAUGCUAUCAUAUGAUAA